AUUGGUUGACCCUCCGGAGUCUCUCUGCAGGGAGCGGCUCCAAACAACUUUCCUAAUGCAUGUUGAGCAAUCGGCAUGUGUGAAGCGAGGAAAGAAAAGGUUUCGAGUUGAAGGAAUCAUG
RNAcentral lists this non-coding RNA (121 nucleotides) under Tangfeifania diversioriginum. Lineage: Bacteria; Pseudomonadati; Bacteroidota; Bacteroidia; Marinilabiliales; Prolixibacteraceae. The record is from RNAcentral.